UCCGCGCCGCAGCCAGGCUCGGAGCGCGCGGCUGGAGGGGCGCGGGCGGCGCGCGCUCCAGAGAUGCCUUCCUGCGAGGCUCCGUCAGCGCGGCCCGGGGAGAUCGCCCGCAGGCAGCGGAGGCGCGGCGGGCCGGGGGACGACCAGGGAGCCCCUAACAAAGCAGCUUUGGGAGGGCCGGAGGCCUCUGCCUCCCUCGGCGAUAGGUCCGCGAAGCUGCCUGUCAUCUCGCAUAGGUGGAGGUGGCCAAUGGCGUGCACAGACGGAGCUCUAGUUGGCGCGCGCGCGCGGCUCGGCAUCGGUGGGAUUGGUCGGAGUUGCAGUUUACCUCUCGCAAGGUUGUGGAGAACGCGGAAACGGAGACGCUGGCGGUACAGCCUCGAGCGAAACCUUUCCCUACACGAGGCCGGAGCUUCCUCCUCUCCUGAAGAGCUCUAGACUUCCCCAUUUACAACAAAGGCUGGGAUGUAUGUUCCUUACACCUUGAUUCCAUACACACGUGUUCGCCCCGGGAGCUGGGAAGGUCUGCGCUCCCGGGGUGAUCUUGUUGAAAACAAAAAGAAUUGCCCACGCUGUGGAAGAUAAACCUAAACCGGAAAAUUGAAAGUCAUCCCUGAUUCCUCCUUCUUCUUAACCCUCUCCCAUCCAUUUUUGUUAACCUCCCAAACCCAUUCCUCCCAUCCUGUCUCACCUGGACCUCAGUAAAGGGCUCCCAUCGUCCUUCUGUCCCAGGCCUUGCCCCCUGAAAUCUGUUCUCCACUUUGCAGAAUGAUCCUUCUAAGCAGAAAAAUCUCAUUUUGCGCUCCCAACUCUGGGUCUCUUUUCUUUCCCCAGAACACGUCAACCCCCAGCCCCUCCCUUCACUUCACUAAUUCCUACCCUUCUUCAGAUCCCAGCUUGGCCGCCAAGGCAUCCAUGCAGUAGGCAUUGCUGAACUACUGCUCUUACAGACCCCGGGAAGCCUCCUGUACCCUGUCAAGGUUAGAUGCCACAUUUCCACUUCCAGUGCUUCCACCCCCUGUGCUCCCCUCACAGGCCUGUAUGACACGGGGCUGAAGUUGCCUGUUGCACUGCAGCCUUCCAUGGAAGCCGGAAUCUUAUCUAUCUUCCCUGCUGGAUCCCAGUCCUAGCACAGUGUUUGGCACAUUUGGGGCACUGAAAAAACAUGGAAUCCAUGAAUUAUAGAGGAGCUAUAAUUAUAGGCAAGAGCUUUAAGGAUUUGAAGUGCUUCUAAAACAUCAGUUUGAGAAGAAUGGGUAGCAUGGUAGCUCUUGAACGGAUGCGUCCACCAGGUUCCAUGAUCAGUAUUACAGGGAGGUUUUUGAGUCAAGUUUGAGAGAUUUUCCAAAGACACCCCUUCCAAAACCAGCCUCGUUUCAGCCAACAGCUUGGAAUGGAGAAUAAUUCCCUUGAGAAGCUUUUCAUCCCAGGACAAAGAGCCAUUUCUUUACCUGUUACAAGCCACCAUCUAGGGGAAAUACAUAUAUUUGAAAAUGAGUAGAGGGUUUUUCCCUAAGGAAGUUUAGAAGUACAUCUGGCCAUCCUUAAAAGAACAGACCCUGGAGUGAGGCUGCCUAAUUUCAGGCCCGGUUCCUUUCUAGCUGUUACCUAGGGCAAGUUACUUCAGGCCUCCGUGCCUCGGUUUCCCCAUUUAUAUAAAUGAGAUAACAAUAGUGCUUCAUACCACAUACAGUUGGUACGAGGAUGAAUGAGUUAAUAUUAACAAUGUGCUGGCCAGGCGCGGUGGCUCACUCCUGUAAUCCUAGCACUUUGG
This 1774-nucleotide long non-coding RNA is filed under the name Homo sapiens (human). Its description in RNAcentral is "HSALNT0272656". The record is from RNAcentral. Lineage: Eukaryota; Metazoa; Chordata; Mammalia; Primates; Hominidae.